CUGUUUACCUAAUACCAGUCAUCCAACAAGCGUACAGAGAUCAACUCGAGAAAUUAAGGGAACGUCUCGUGCAACUUUGUGCCUCAGGACAGAAAGUUGAGCUCUGUGGUGAUGCUAGAAGUGACAGUCCAGGUUUCAGUAGCAAAUACUGUACAUAUUCAUUUCAAGAUGAUGCCACAAAAGAGAUCAUUCAUUUUGAAUUGGUUCAGGUUACAGAAACAACCAGCUCGGUUGCUAUGGAGGUGUUGGGAUUUCAGAAGGGUCUGGAUUAUUUGCUUGACAGGGGAGUGGUU
Molecule: long non-coding RNA, 293 nt
Organism: Rhinichthys klamathensis goyatoka
Lineage: Eukaryota; Metazoa; Chordata; Actinopteri; Cypriniformes; Leuciscidae
Exons: 3
Source: RefSeq, a predicted model, not a curated record